RNAcentral lists this ribosomal RNA (427 nucleotides) under uncultured bacterium. RNAcentral describes it as "bacterial SSU rRNA". It matches the Rfam family "Bacterial small subunit ribosomal RNA", at positions 354 to 796 of the family's 1533-position model. The record is from RNAcentral.
GUGGGGAAUCUUGCGCAAUGGGCGAAAGCCUGACGCAGCAACGCCGCGUGCGGGAUGAAGGCCCUCGGGUUGUAAACCGCUUUCAGUGGGGACGAACCAAGACGGUACCCACAGAAGAAGCCCCGGCCAACUACGUGCCAGCAGCCGCGGUAACACGUAGGGGGCAAGCGUUGUCCGGAUUCAUUGGGCGUAAAGAGCUCGUAGGCGGUUCGAUAAGUCGGGUGUGAAACCUCCAGGCUCAACCUGGAGACGCCACCCGAUACUGUCGUGACUAGAGUCCAGUAGGGGAGCGUGGAAUUCCUGGUGUAGCGGUGAAAUGCGCAGAUAUCAGGAGGAACACCAGCGGCGAAGGCGGCGCUCUGGGCUGGAACUGACGCUGAGGAGCGAAAGCGUGGGGAGCGAACAGGAUUAGAUACCCCAGUAGUCC